Long non-coding RNA from Gadus chalcogrammus (walleye pollock), 890 nucleotides. RefSeq lists it as uncharacterized. Lineage: Eukaryota; Metazoa; Chordata; Actinopteri; Gadiformes; Gadidae. The record is from RefSeq and is a predicted model, not a curated record. The transcript is spliced from 4 exons.
GGCUUGAAACCUGUCCUUUCAAAUACCGAAGGGGAUGAUGAUGCUACUCGUCCAAAAAUCACUCAACAGAUGACCACAGUUGGAGACGAUGCCCUGCUAGAUGGGGGCUCGAAACCUGUCCUUUCAAAUACCGAAGGGGAUGAUGAUGCUACUCGUCCAAAAAUCACUAAACAGAAAAGGUUCUUGAAAGUGAAGACGAAAGCACACAGGGGGCACACUGUUCAUCUACUGUUGAUGUAGAAGAGACUCUUCCUCACAUCGAGAGCCCUGAAAUUCCACCAACCAAGAAGCGAAGACAACGGCCGUUGGUUGAAAUGCCGGAAGAAGUCGGCGCUAUGAGGCCUUCCUCCCAAGGUGAACUCUUUACACAUGUCUUUUGUACGUCAGUAAAGAUUGUCUGUUCCUCUUUGGAAAUGGAUUUUAUUCAGUGUACCAAUUUCAAGUUGUAUCAGUUAUAACAGCCCUAUCAGAAUAUACGAAGGUUGGGGGAUGAAUUGUCAUUAGUUUAUUUUCAAUGCAUAUGCCUAUAAUGGGUGGAUUUAUGCAAUAUCUGUUUGGAAAUUGAAAGCUAAGAUGAUGCAUAUUAGCUUUCAAUUGGCUCACGUGGCAUACUUAAUCAACAUGCAUCCUUAAAGAGCCCAUGCCAUUAAAAUCACAUUUUUCCUAUUGUUUGUUAAAUAACAUAGGUCUGAAUAAGUUUGUGAGCUGUGGUAAGUUUGAAAUCUAUGCAGUUUGUCUGCUGAAUGCAAUAGGCAAUGUCUGUGUUGAUAGAAUAAUGUUAGAAAUAAAACUAACCAAAAUUCCGUUUCAUUAUUAUUAUCCCCAUGGCAAUAGCUGUCAAACAUCAGAUACUCGACUAAAGUAUGCUACAACUUGUCACCUUAUGCCUU